CGGGAACAAUUGUUUGUGAAGAAAGUUCUGAAAUACUCUUGGGGGGCAGCUAGUACAAAUGCUGCUCUCCCAUUUUCAGGAGUUUUGAAGUUGUAGGGAAGAUACUACGUUUUUGAUCAUCUGAAAUCUUUCUUCAUUACCUGUUUCUUUUCUUUUCUUUUUUUUUUUAUAGCGAUAUGAACUGUGUCCCCAUCAGGAUGGAGCCUAAAAAAGAACAGAUAAUGGGGUGGUUCUUCAGUCAGCGGCUUUGGGUCUUCUGUUCUGGAAAAUUUUCAGGGACAGGGUUCACCUGUGUUUCCCAGGCUGGUCUCAGACUUCCAGACUCAAGUGAACCUGAACCUCCCGCCUUGACCUCUCAAAUUGCUGAGAUUAUGCGUGUCAGUCACCACAUCCGGCCUAAAUUUCUUAUGUGCCAUGGUACUGCAAAACGUCAUACUUAGGGGCAGCUGGAUGGAAGGUGUAGGAGGCCACUGUAGUGCCUUUUCAAUAUUUCUGUAUCUCUAAAAUAAUUUCAACAGAAAACAUUUAUUUUAAAACAGGAAGGGGGUUAACUGUCUAUGAGUUGAAAAUACAAAGGCAGGCACAUGGUGUCAUCAGAAUUCAGAAAGCUGGUCACACAGCUGGGGGUGCUGGGAGGGGCUGGGCAUGGUUGGCUUUGUGAUCUGGGGGCUGGUGUUCCAUCUGUGAAGGUCUUUCGAGCUGCACACUUUCUUAAUCAAUUUUCAUAAGUUUAACAAAAAAUAAAGCGAAGAGGCAAAGCUUGCUUGGGUUGUUAAGCCUCGGGAAAUUAUCCAGCCAUGAGCCCUGGCCCAGAUGCUUCUAGAAGCCUGGAGGGAACUGAGAACUUUCAAAGUAGAGGUGGCACAGGCAA
Macaca mulatta (Rhesus monkey) is the source of this 871-nucleotide non-coding RNA. The record is from RefSeq and is a predicted model, not a curated record. NCBI's taxonomy places the organism in Eukaryota, Metazoa, Chordata, Mammalia, Primates, Cercopithecidae.